RNAcentral lists this long non-coding RNA (1555 nucleotides) under Homo sapiens (human). Its description in RNAcentral is "HSALNT0253332". Lineage: Eukaryota; Metazoa; Chordata; Mammalia; Primates; Hominidae. The record is from RNAcentral.
GAAACGUGAGACACUCUGAAGGCUGUGGUUGCUUGAAUCCAAAGAUGUGGAAUCCACGGAUACACAGGGCCAACUGUACUUGUAACUUCCCACAACAUCCUCUAAAACUUGAGGGUGUCCCAUCUAUUGAGUCGCAGUGAGUAUCUAAAAAGUGAGGGUGGGUUCAACAGGAUGGAGUAUGGAUUUUACAUGACAGAUAUUAGCACGACAAGAAAUGGUGAAAAGCGGGAGUAGUGAAAUUAGUCUUGAAUGAUAUGCAGCUCAACGGGGCACCGCUUGUGCAUUAUGAGCACCUCAGAGCAUCCGCCAUGGCCUGGGCACCAGGCAUCCCAGUCCAGGCACUUCUCAGGAUGGCACGAACUCUGACAGCAAAUCUUCCAGAGAUGUGCAGCCUCUCUGCAUGCUUCUGUUAUUCCUAAGUCGCCUAAAUGCUUUCUGAGCAGAAUUCUAUUUUGGCCCAUACACUGAAGGUUUGUAUGUCUCCUUGCAAAGCAAUAUUCGUUUUUCCUUAGUGAUGGUUUCUAAGCUCCCUGAGCCUACUUGUGUUUGGGAAUGUUGGAAAUGUUGAUUUUUACAAACUCCAAUUAGAUGCCCUUUCACCCCUCUUUCUUACUAAAAAUAUUAACUUUUUAUGAAGUCCAAAAGUAGACUUUCUGUCCAUGCCACGUCUCUUUCUCAGUGGAGGAUUUAAAUCUAGUAACAUAUUCCCAAUGACUGACUUUUUUUCCAUAAUUUUGCACUUCUACUAUUUUAAGUCAAUAACGAGAGCUGCUGUGACCAAGUCUUAUGUGGGGAUAAAAGUAACAUGAAUAUCAGAACACUUUCCAGAGGAAUAGAUGGCAACAUUCAACUGACGAAACAUGUUCCAUAAAAAAAAAGGAGAGGAGUUUCUUUCACUUAAUCUAAUAAUGCAAAUUAUUUCCAGAUCCAGAAACAGCAUUCAAAUCAAUUCCCAGAUGUCAAAGAAAAUGUUCGGGCAAAAUUAUGGCACAACUGGGUAUUACUGGAAUGGUCGCAUAGAUCUGAAUUCUAAUUUCAACUGUGCUCCCACAGGCAGGCUGGCUGCUGCUUGUAAGAACCACUGUGAUCUUUCGUUCCUCAAUUCCCACACAGACACUCUAACAGUGUUAACCAAUCAUCCCAUCAGAGUUCCAUGAGAAUUUAAAAUAACCUAACACUUAAAGAACUAAGUAAUCUUUUUAGUAACAGGAAAGGCAAGCAUUUCCCAAAGUUGCGUGUAUUUUUUCAGAAAAAGAAAGGAAUGCUGCAGAUUUAAAUAUGAGAUUCAAAAUACCCAGUUUCUUUUCCAAGCUAGCCCUGUGAAAGACCUGGGCCAAAUCCCACAAAUCACAGUGUUUUGAGAGUAGUUAAAUCAAUGGAACACGGUCUCUCUCUCCUUAAAGAAUAUCCAUGAAUUAGUAAUUUGUUGCUACACUAGACCAUUAAAGGCAGCUGUUGUGAGUGAAAAGUUGGUGUUUUUAGAUAGAAAGAUACUGUCCUUUGGGAUUACGGAAAGUGACCCACAUACACCUACAGGGCUCUUCCAUGUUUCAUG